AUUGAACGCUGGCGGCAGGCCUAACACAUGCAAGUCGAGCGGAUGAAGGGAGCUUGCUCCUGGAUUCAGCGGCGGACGGGUGAGUAAUGCCUAGGAAUCUGCCUGGUAGUGGGGGAUAACGUCCGGAAACGGGCGCUAAUACCGCAUACGUCCAGAGGGAGAAAGUGGGGGAUCUUCGGACCUCACGCUAUCAGAUGAGCCUAGGUCGGAUUAGCUAGUUGGUGGGGUAAAGGCCUACCAAGGCGACGAUCCGUAACUGGUCUGAGAGGAUGAUCAGUCACACUGGAACUGAGACACGGUCCAGACUCCUACGGGAGGCAGCAGUGGGGAAUAUUGGACAAUGGGCGAAAGCCUGAUCCAGCCAUGCCGCGUGUGUGAAGAAGGUCUUCGGAUUGUAAAGCACUUUUAGUUGGGAGGAAGGGCAGUAAGUUAAUACCUUGCUGUUUUGACGGUACCAACAGAAUAAGCACCGGCUAACUUCGUG
RNAcentral lists this ribosomal RNA (484 nucleotides) under uncultured bacterium. Its description in RNAcentral is "partial 16S ribosomal RNA". It matches the Rfam family "Bacterial small subunit ribosomal RNA", at positions 30 to 507 of the family's 1533-position model. The record is from RNAcentral.